This is a non-coding RNA of Spinacia oleracea (spinach), 94 nucleotides long. NCBI's taxonomy places the organism in Eukaryota, Viridiplantae, Streptophyta, Magnoliopsida, Caryophyllales, Amaranthaceae. The record is from Rfam.
UAGCCUGUGAUGAAAUCAGUUAAAAAACACCAUCUUUCGGGACUGAAUGGUCUUUACAAGGCCUUGUUGAUAAAAUUCUGCAAUUCCGAGGCUU